UAAAAAAAUUCUUUAAAUUGCUUAAUAGGAAAAACAAAACCUCCUAUAUAUCCUAUGUUGUUUUCUGGCCUUCAAAAUCUAAUUGAUGAUUCUCAAGGCAAGGCAAGUGUGUGAGAUCCAAUAUUUCACAUGUGAAGUAGAAGUGUAAUCCCAUUAAGUUUUUUGUAUGAAGAUUUAUAAUCAAAUAGCAAAUAUUAAUAGCAUACAAUUAUUAGUUAUAAAAAAAAAAGGCAAAAUUACACUUCAGGUCCUUUAUCUUAUUUUUUUGUAACACUUUGGUCCUUUAUCUUUUUUUUUGUAACACUUUGGUCCUUUAUCUUUUAUUUGUAACACUAUGGUCCUUUAUUAUUUUUUAUUUGUAACAUUUAGGUCCUUUAUUUUUUAUAAAUAAAUAAGAUAAGGACCAAAAUGUUACAAAAAAAAGAACUAAAGUGUUACAAAU
Molecule: long non-coding RNA, 442 nt
Filed under: Trifolium pratense (red clover)
Lineage: Eukaryota; Viridiplantae; Streptophyta; Magnoliopsida; Fabales; Fabaceae
Description: long non-coding RNA (TPRA_LNC006785)
Source: RNAcentral